AAUGAACGUUAGCGGCGUGGAUUAGGCAUGCAAGUCGAGCGAGAACCAAGGUAGCUUGCUACCGAGGGGACAGCGGCGCAAGGGAGAGUAACGCGUAGAUACGUACCCUGUGGACCGGGAUAGAGGCGGGAAACUGCCAGUAAUACCGGAUAACGUCCCAGGACCAAAGGUGAGAUUCCGCCUCAGGAUCGGUCUGCGUCCUAUUAGCUUGUUGGUGGGGUAACGGCCUACCAAGGCCAAGAUGGGUACCGGGUGUGAGAGCAUGAUCCGGCUCACUGGGACUGAGACACUGCCCAGACACCUACGGGUGGCUGCAGUCGAGAAUCUUCCGCAAUGGGCGAAAGCCUGACGGAGCGACGCCGCGUGCGGGAUGAAGGCCUUCGGGUUGUAAACCGCUGUCAGUUGGGAGGAAAUCAUGGGGGGUUCUCCCCUCAUGUUGACCAAUCUUCAGAGGAAGCGCAGGCUAAGUUCG
RNAcentral lists this ribosomal RNA (472 nucleotides) under uncultured Planctomycetaceae bacterium. RNAcentral's name for it is "bacterial SSU rRNA". It matches the Rfam family "Bacterial small subunit ribosomal RNA", at positions 29 to 505 of the family's 1533-position model. Lineage: Bacteria; Pseudomonadati; Planctomycetota; Planctomycetia; Planctomycetales; Planctomycetaceae. The record is from RNAcentral.